RNAcentral lists this ribosomal RNA (1436 nucleotides) under Lactiplantibacillus plantarum. RNAcentral describes it as "bacterial SSU rRNA". It matches the Rfam family "Bacterial small subunit ribosomal RNA". Lineage: Bacteria; Bacillati; Bacillota; Bacilli; Lactobacillales; Lactobacillaceae. The record is from RNAcentral.
UGCAAGUCGAACGAACUCUGGUAUUGAUUGGUGCUUGCAUCAUGAUUUACAUUUGAGUGAGUGGCGAACUGGUGAGUAACACGUGGGAAACCUGCCCAGAAGCGGGGGAUAACACCUGGAAACAGAUGCUAAUACCGCAUAACAACUUGGACCGCAUGGUCCGAGUUUGAAAGAUGGCUUCGGCUAUCACUUUUGGAUGGUCCCGCGGCGUAUUAGCUAGAUGGUGGGGUAACGGCUCACCAUGGCAAUGAUACGUAGCCGACCUGAGAGGGUAAUCGGCCACAUUGGGACUGAGACACGGCCCAAACUCCUACGGGAGGCAGCAGUAGGGAAUCUUCCACAAUGGACGAAAGUCUGAUGGAGCAACGCCGCGUGAGUGAAGAAGGGUUUCGGCUCGUAAAACUCUGUUGUUAAAGAAGAACAUAUCUGAGAGUAACUGUUCAGGUAUUGACGGUAUUUAACCAGAAAGCCACGGCUAACUACGUGCCAGCAGCCGCGGUAAUACGUAGGUGGCAAGCGUUGUCCGGAUUUAUUGGGCGUAAAGCGAGCGCAGGCGGUUUUUUAAGUCUGAUGUGAAAGCCUUCGGCUCAACCGAAGAAGUGCAUCGGAAACUGGGAAACUUGAGUGCAGAAGAGGACAGUGGAACUCCAUGUGUAGCGGUGAAAUGCGUAGAUAUAUGGAAGAACACCAGUGGCGAAAGGCGGCUGUCUGGUCUGUAACUGACGCUGAGGCUCGAAAGUAUGGGUAGCAAACAGGAUUAGAUACCCUGGUAGUCCAUACCGUAAACGAUGAAUGCUAAGUGUUGGAGGGUUUCCGCCCUUCAGUGCUGCAGCUAACGCAUUAAGCAUUCCGCCUGGGGAGUACGGCCGCAAGGCUGAAACUCAAAGGAAUUGACGGGGGCCCGCACAAGCGGUGGAGCAUGUGGUUUAAUUCGAAGCUACGCGAAGAACCUUACCAGGUCUUGACAUACUAUGCAAAUCUAAGAGAUUAGACGUUCCCUUCGGGGACAUGGAUACAGGUGGUGCAUGGUUGUCGUCAGCUCGUGUCGUGAGAUGUUGGGUUAAGUCCCGCAACGAGCGCAACCCUUAUUAUCAGUUGCCAGCAUUAAGUUGGGCACUCUGGUGAGACUGCCGGUGACAAACCGGAGGAAGGUGGGGAUGACGUCAAAUCAUCAUGCCCCUUAUGACCUGGGCUACACACGUGCUACAAUGGAUGGUACAACGAGUUGCGAACUCGCGAGAGUAAGCUAAUCUCUUAAAGCCAUUCUCAGUUCGGAUUGUAGGCUGCAACUCGCCUACAUGAAGUCGGAAUCGCUAGUAAUCGCGGAUCAGCAUGCCGCGGUGAAUACGUUCCCGGGCCUUGUACACACCGCCCGUCACACCAUGAGAGUUUGUAACACCCAAAGUCGGUGGGGUAACCUUUUAGGAACCAGCCGC